CGCGCGGAGGCCACACGCCACUCCGACACAACUCUUCAGCCGCCGGCAGCAGGACUCCGAAGCCGAGAGUACAAGUACCAACCCGGGGAAGCGCAGCUCCGCGCUCGGUCUUUGCCCGUUAUCCGUUAGCUCUCUGGAAUACUGCAGAGCAGCAGCUCAGCACGGAAGAGGUUGGUAGUAAACUCUCUGGAGUUUGAUCAGAGUCGCUUUGUGCCGUUGCGCUUGUGGAACUGAAGUGAACCGAUCUUGGACAUCCAGAACCGGGACGCGUCCCUGCCGUUCCGCGGGAGACCCGAGACUGUCGGAUUUCUUACUAGAGAACUUUACACAGAUAUGGCUCUCUUGAUCUAGAAGAAGCAAACCCUUAAUCUAUCUUCAUCACAGUGAUCAAGCGAGACCCCAGCUCAAUCCUCUAAUCCAGCAUCCACCGGUCCUCCUGAGGAGACAUCAUGGAGUGGCGUUUGGUCUCGCUGGCGUUGUGCAUAUGUGUGUGCGCCAUGUUCAGCCCAAGUCUCUGCACUCCCUCUGGCCCGGCCUCUGCCACCUGUGCCACCCUGGAGCAGAGCCGAUUCUUUGGCGUGUUCUCCUCCAAGACGGCCCUACCCUCGUCUCCAUGCUCUUGGACCCUGCAGAACCCAGAUCCUCGCCGAUACACCGUCUACAUGAAGAUCACCAAACCCACAGAGUCCUGCACUCCUCGCCAGAUCCGCACCUUCCAGUUCGACUCCUUCCUGGAGACCUCGCGCACCUACCUAGGUAUGGAGAGCUUCGAUGAAGUGGUCCGGCUGUGUGACGCCUCUUCCUCGGUGGCCUACCUGGAGUCCAGCAAACAGUUCCUGCAGGUGCGCAAGGUGACGCCACGUCUGGGUCUGGAGCACGCGGAAGAAGAGGAGGGCAAUGAUGAAGGCAGCCAGUUCAACGCUGAGUUUCUGGUGGUGGGCAAGAGGAACCCCAGUAUGCCCGCUUGUGAAAUGCUGUGCCAGUGGUUAGGAGACUGCCUCGCCACCAGCACCCACGGAAACCCCUGCGGCAUCAUGGCCACACCCUGCCAGUGCUGGGAGCCACCCAAGAAGAAGACGACUGGCUGCUACAGAGGUGGAGUCUACACGGAGAAGUGCUCACCUGCUGCUAGAGACAGCAACCGCGACGCUGAAAUCAUGAAAGGCUGGAGCGGGUGGGGCCGCUGGUCUGAGUGCAGUAGCGAGUGUGGUGGUGGAGUGCAGGUGCGCAGCCGCGCAUGCCAACCUGAAGAUGGCAUCUGUGAGGGCGUGGUGGAGGAGGGACGAGCCUGCAACCCUCAGCCCUGCAUCGGUCAAGUCCGGCAGAAAAGCCAAGGUCUGCGCUCCAUCAUCGGCCAGCGGCGUGACUCUGACGGCACCCUCAUGGCUAACCAGGCCCCUCAGAAAGAAGAGGCGCAGCAGGACACGUGGUCCUCCUGGAGUGUGUGUUCUGUGAGCUGCGGUGAGGGCUGGCAGUCUCGCACCCGCUCCUGCAUGAACUCCGCUCAGUGUAUCGGCCCUUUAAGAGAGAACCGACCCUGCAACAACACCGCCGUCUGCCCAGUAAACGGAGCCUGGGAUGAAUGGGCACCCUGGAGCCUGUGCUCCUCCACGUGUGGCCGUGGGUACCGGGAUCGAGUCCGCACCUGCAAACAACCUAAGAACGGUGGAGAACCCUGCCGAGGACCCUUCAAACAGACCAAGUUCUGCAACAUUGCCGUGUGCCCAGUUGAUGGAUUCUGGAACGACUGGUCUGCGUGGACCCCUUGCUCAUCCUCCUGUUCCAAUGGGACGACUCAGAGAACCCGCGAGUGUAACGGACCCUCAUACGGCGGCUCCGAGUGCAGAGGGGAAUGGCUGGAGACCAAAAACUGCUUCCUCAGAGACUGCCCUGUGGACGGCCGCUGGCUGCUGUGGAGCUCCUGGGGUGCCUGCAGUAAGUCCUGCGGUGGCGGGCAGCAGCUCAGGCAGAGAGUGUGUGAAGGGCCGUUCUUUGGUGGACAAUCCUGCAAUGGAGAUAAAGCAGAGAUGAGGAACUGCAACGAGAAGCGCUGCCCAGAACCACACGAGAUCUGCGGAGAGGAGAACUACGGCAGCAUGGUGUGGAAGAAAACUCCGGCUGGAGACACGGCUGCACUGCCCUGCCCUGCUGACGCCACAGGCCUGAUCCUCCGCAGAUGCACACUGGACGCUGUGGGUCUGGCCUUCUGGGAAAACCCCACUCACAUCAAAUGCGUCUCUAAAGACUUCCAGGAGAUCCAGAGCUUGAUGCGUAAUGAUGUGGAUCAGUCUCAGCUGGUGGAGGGUGUGUCGGCGGUUCUGUCCCGCCUCAGGGUGGCGUCGGCGGGCAGCACACGCUACAGCGGAGACCUGCUGACGGUGAUGGAGAUCCUGAAGAACAGCACCGGGAUCUUCAGAGGAUCCAAGAUGAGCCUGAGCAACGCUGAUGUGGAGAACUACGCACACACCAUCAGCAACCUCCUGCAGGACACACACCGAGAGAAAUGGGACGAAGCUCAGCUGAUGGGAGCAAACAUCAAGCAGUUCUUCAGUCUGGUGGAAAACUUCAUCGACAUGAUCGGCCGCCAGAUGAGGGACUUCCAGGACAUCUACGAGGUGACGGAGAAUCUGGAGCUCAGUAUCCAGAAGCGUCCGCGCACCAUCAGCUCAGACGUCAGUUUCCCGCUGAAGGGCUGGCGAGGGAUGAUCGACUGGGUGCGCAACUCUGAAGAGAAGGUCACAGUGUCACGCAACGCCCUGAGCCUGGACGUGCCAGAUGCUGAGCAGAGCACCGGCUUCGUCACCGGCAUCGUUCUCUACAGAAAUCUGGGGCCCAUCCUGUCCUUACAGAGCAACAGCACGCUCCUGAACUCUAAGGUGGUCACGGUGACGGUGAAGCCUAACCCAGGGUUCCUCUCCGCUCCGGUGGAGAUCGAGUUUCCUCACCUGCACAACGGCACCGUCAACGAGACCUGCAUCGCCUGGGACGAGAGCGAGAGCUCGUCUCUGCUGGGCUCGUGGUCCGCGCGCGGCUGCAGAUCAGUGUCUCGCGACUCCAGCACAGUGUGUGUGUGUGACGGACUGACCACCUUCGCCCUGAUCGCGAGACCGACCCCGAUCCGGUGAAACAUGGACAGGUCUCUGUUGCCGUCGGUUACGAUGAUCGUGGGAUGCGGGGUGUCGUCGCUCACCCUCCUCCUCCUCAUCAUCAUCUACGUCUCGGUCUGGAAGUACAUCCGCUCUGAGCGAUCCGUUAUCCUGAUCAACUUCUGCCUGUCCAUCAUCUGCUCCAACGCGCUCAUUCUGAUUGGCCAGACUCAAGCGCGCAACAAGGUGAUGUGCACUCUGGUGGCGGCGCUCCUGCACUUCUUCUUCUUGUCCUCCUUCUGCUGGGUGCUGACUGAGGCCUGGCAGUCCUACAUGGCCGUCACGGGGCGCCUGCGCAACCGCAUCAUCCGCAAGCGCUUCCUCUGCCUGGGCUGGGGGCUGCCGGCACUGGUGGUGGCCAUCUCUGUGGGGUUCACUAAAGCUAAAGGCUAUGGAACCGUCAACUACUGCUGGUUGUCUCUGGAGGGCGGGCUGCUGUACUCGUUUGUGGGUCCAGCAGCGGCUGUUGUUCUGGUCAACAUGGUGAUUGGUAUUCUGGUUUUCAACAAGCUUGUGUCAAAGGACGGCAUCACUGAUGUCAAGCUGAAAGAGAGAGCAGGGGCGUCUCUGUGGAGCUCCUGUGUGGUUCUGCCUCUGCUGGCGCUGACCUGGAUGUCUGCAGUGUUGGCCAUGACGGACCGCCGCUCUGCACUCUUCCAGAUCCUCUUCGCUGUCUUCGACUCUCUGGAGGGCUUCAUCAUCGUGAUGGUGCACUGCAUCCUGCGCAGGGAGGUUCAGGAGGCGGUCAAAUGCAGAGUUGUGGACCGCAAGGAUGAUGGGAACGGAGACUCUGGCAGCUCUCUGCAGAACGGCCACACGCAGCUCAUGUCUGACUUUGAGAAGGAUGGCGACUCAAACCGACCAGGUGGAAUGAAGAGCUCCUCUGAGGAGAAGAUGCCCCCUCCACAGAUGCCCCUGCCCCUCGGCCCAAACUUCCACACGCUGCCCAACCCCAGUGGGAAGAGCCACAUUCCCCCAGUGCCGGAAUACUCCAGCCACACACUGACCCUGCGCAGAGAGAAGGGCCGCGACCCAUCCUGUGGGAAACCAGUGUAUGUGUGUGACAGCGAGCUCUUCAAGCAGCUGGAUGCGGAUCUGGCUCGUGCUCAGGCAGAGAGUGUGUGUGCGGACGGCAGCGGGUACGUGCUCCUGCCCAACACCACCUCCACGCUCCGCGCCAAGCCCAAAGACGACUCCAGUGGCUCCAGCAAGUACAACAUCAGCACCGACCUUCCGCAGGCACGCCUCAUGCACAUUAGCGGAACCUACGCCGAGCCGCAAGCUGCCUACGCCACGCAGACGCUGCCCGCUGACCGCGUCAGUGUGUCCUACUCAGAGCGGGACUCACCCAUCCAGAACAUCCACAACAUCUCCAGCGAGAGCCACAUGACCAGCAGCCUGGGUGACACCUUCGACUCCAUGAACUCCAUGAUGUCCAAGAGUGAGACCAUCUCCACACUGUCCAUGAGCUCCCUGGAGGUCAGCGAAGGGAGGCAGAAAUCUCGCUAUGCAGAACUGGACUUUGAGAAAAUCAUGCACACACGAAAGCGUCACCAGAACAUGUUUCAGGAUCUGAACAGGAAAGUCCACCAUGCUGAAAAGGACAGGGAGUCUCCAGCCUCUGACAGCAAGUCCGUCAGGUGGAGCGUUUCCUCCGCUGGCAGCGACAAGACCAACCACAGCGAUAAGCAGCCGGGGGCCAUGGACCGAUCCUGGGAGAGCAUGAGCAGGUCGCAGGCAUCUCCGCCUGCAUGGGUACGCAAGGACCUGGAGCCGCUGCAGGCCUCGCCGCUGGACCUGCAGGCGGUGGAGUGGGAGAAAGCAGGAGCCAGCAUCCCGCUCGUGGGCCAGGACAUCAUCGACCUCCAGACAGAGGUGUGAGGGCGCAACACCAACGCUGAACACCUCGGUCUGCUUUUAUUUGGGAAAGAGAGCGGAAAUGAAGGUAUGAGCCUGUGGAGGCAGAGAGCGAGCCUGUAGCGUCUGUCAUUGAACACGCGUGUGUCCGGCUUCAGAAGCAGCUCUCGGCUCAACAUGACUCUGACCUCAGCCAUCAGAAGCGGAGAACGGGUUUCAGAGAGAUUCUGGCCGGUUCAUCGAGAGCUUCUCCCAAUACUCUUCCAUUGGUCCAGGAGGUGCCUGUGAUCGCUCAUUUUUCCGCAAGUCCAUGUUGUGAUGGGCGAAUCUUCCCACAGGAGGGUCGAGUGCAGGAGUUGCAGCUCCUUCCGGAGCGGAUCUCCCACAAUCCUCGCUGCGUCAGACGGACACAGAAACACUGCCGUCCUGUCGUCUCUGUUUCUAGCGCUUUGCCUGAAGCAUUUCUGGACGCUUCCAACAAACUUUGGGGAAAUAUAUGUAAUGAAACUUGAAGAAACGUUGAGAGCUGAGCAUCAGUUUCCAUCACUCCUCUGUUAUUAUUGCGAGACCUUUAUGUUACUCGUUGGUUCUACUGAUCAUGUUAUGAUUUGAAGUUUCUCCUGUUGUCUGCACAUUUGUGUUCAUCGAGAUUUAUUUAUGAAGUCAUUCCCAAAAGCAGCAGCAGCAGCAAGAUGGAGUACCCCUGCAGAGCAUUAUGGGUAAUGUAGGCGGAGCAGCAGUGACUGUGUAGCCUUGGACUCUUUGAGGACGAGCUGUUGUUUCUCCUCAUCUCCACCGGAUCAGACCACUGUGUUCCCCGUUUCCCACCGCAGCUCUUUUACGGCCUUGUGAACGAAACCCCAGCACAUGUUACGGGCUCCGGCCCGCCUGUGAACUUCCGCUCUGUCCGCGGGAGAGACUCCCAGUGCAGUAGAGAUGCCUGGACUGGACUGGCAUCAGUGCAAUAUGAGGACAGAUGCUUGAUGCCCAAGCAGGACUGGCGUUAGAAUCUUGAUUUUUGUUAACCAUUUUCAGAGUUUUAUAUAUCUAGUCUUUAUAGAGCAUUUAGAAACCUUUAACACUGUUCACAGACUAUAUUAGAUAUUAAACGAAGGACGACACAAGACGUGUGUUUUGCUGCUAAAAGAGGAAGGAAAAGCACGUCGUCCACACAGAGUAAUAGCCUAGAGAUAUAUUUGACUGUGCUUCAGGAAAGCAUUAUAGAUUUUUUACUUGAUUCCUCCAUGCUGAGACACUGAACCUUUGGGCGUCUGUACGGCCACCAACCUGUGCGUCUCUCUCUGUACGUGACGAUAUCCUUCCUCGCGUUUCUGCGUUUGCGGGAGGUUCCUGAUGUCUGUCUGAAUCUGUGUGUAUUUCACCUCCUGCUGUGAAUGUACAUGUUUGAAGAAUAACAGGUUAAAGUGUCUCUUUGGAAUAAAAUAAAACAAAUUAAAAUGACA
This is a non-coding RNA of Danio rerio (zebrafish), 6466 nucleotides long. The record is from RefSeq and is a predicted model, not a curated record. Lineage: Eukaryota; Metazoa; Chordata; Actinopteri; Cypriniformes; Danionidae.